UGCGGCGUAGCGCAAUGGUAGCGCGGCGGUCUCAUAAGCCGGAGGUGGCAGGUCCGACUCCUGCCGCCGCAA
Molecule: transfer RNA, 72 nt
Filed under: Paralcaligenes ureilyticus
Lineage: Bacteria; Pseudomonadati; Pseudomonadota; Betaproteobacteria; Burkholderiales; Alcaligenaceae
Description: Alcaligenes sp. GR24-5 tRNA
Rfam family: tRNA
About the family: Transfer RNA (tRNA) molecules are approximately 80 nucleotides in length. Their secondary structure includes four short double-helical elements and three loops (D, anti-codon, and T loops). Further hydrogen bonds mediate the characteristic L-shaped molecular structure. tRNAs have two regions of fundamental functional importance: the anti-codon, which is responsible for specific mRNA codon recognition, and the 3' end, to which the tRNAs corresponding amino acid is attached (by aminoacyl-tRNA synthetases). tRNAs cope with the degeneracy of the genetic code in two manners: having more than one tRNA (with a specific anti-codon) for a particular amino acid; and 'wobble' base-pairing, i.e. permitting non-standard base-pairing at the 3rd anti-codon position.
Source: Rfam by way of RNAcentral